RNAcentral lists this ribosomal RNA (497 nucleotides) under uncultured bacterium. RNAcentral's name for it is "partial 16S ribosomal RNA". It matches the Rfam family "Bacterial small subunit ribosomal RNA", at positions 28 to 507 of the family's 1533-position model. The record is from RNAcentral.
GAUGAACGCUGGCGGCGUGCCUAAUACAUGCAAGUCGAGCGAACGGACGAGAAGCUUGCUUCUCUGAUGUUAGCGGCUGACGGGUGAGUAACACGUGGAUCACCUACCUAUAAGACUGGGAUAACUUCGGGAAACCGGAGCUACUACCGGCUAAUAUUUUGAACCGCAUGGUUCAAAAGUGAAAGACGGUCUUGCUGUCACUUAUAGAUGGAUCCGCGCUGCAUUAGCUAGUUGGUAAGGUAACGGCUUACCAAGGCAACGAUGCAUAGCCGGCCUGAGAGGGUGAUCGGCCACACUGGAACUGAGACACGGUCCAGACUCCUACGGGAGGCAGCAGUGGGGAAUCUUCCGCAAUGGGCGAAAGCCUGACGGAGCAACGCCGCGUGAGUGAUGAAGGUCUUCGGAUCGUAAAACUCUGUUAUUAGGGAAGAACAUAUGUGUAAGUAACUGUGCACAUCUUGACGGUACCUAAUCAGAAAGCCACGGCUAACUACGUG